ACUCAGCUCUCUGAGGCCGCCAAGAAGAGACUCUACAAGAAAGAGUAAGACAUCAACAUCUACUCCAAUUCCACUCCAGGAACAUCCUCCUGCACAUCAUCCUCACCUGUAGUGUCACCACUGCGUUGGAUAAAAUAAACUAGGAACUCUGAAGAGAUUAUUCUAGUGGUGUAGGGGUAGGGGAAAUCACCAGAUACCCUAUCAAAAAAUUAAUGCGAACAUAUGGUUCUAUAAUCUGUCACACAGUUCUUAUUUCAAGUAUAAAAUACUUGGCCAAAUAGUUCACUUCCUAACCCAAAAUUUCCCCCCUCAUUUUUUUGUACCCUAUCAGGCAUGUGUUAUGGAAUGCCACAGACAUGGGAUGCCAUACAACACUUAACUUGCAGCUUUAGAGCUCAAAAGUAACAUGGUCAGCCCCAAUUCAUGUUGAAAAGAUCUCAAGUUGCAGUGUUGUGGCUCUCCCCCUCAUACCCCAUCACUGGAACAGCUAAGCUAAGAUUUUGGACUGCCUAUUUUUGUAAAUCUUUAUUUAAGAAGUAGGCAUUGGCAUACUUCCUUCUGUGAAUAUCACAGAAUACUAGAAAGGCCACUUGAAGACACUGGUCAAGGGGCACUGUCCAGAUGAACCACUCUGAAUUGGCUUCUAAGGGGAUGCAUCCUAUAGCCUGCAUCUGCAGUGACUCUAAAGAUAUUUCUUCCACUUAGGACAGUAAAACACAACAUCACCAUGGAUUUUUGACAGUAAAGAAGGCACAGCUGUAGGCUAUUUAGUUCUUCCUAAAUCUAAGCCAGCACACCAACAGGCUCUAAGCAAUGAACAACAGCAAAGAGGCCUGUUUGGAACACCUCACAGUGUAAACCACCAGCGACGUACUGCAGUCCUCACUAGGAAUUGGGCAGUUCUUGUGGCUCCAGUCCUGCACCAGGCAGGGAGCAUCCCCAUUCCUGCCUCCUCCACGUAGAAGAAAGAGAUGAUACAGCCCUUAAAUGCACAUGGAUCUUCCCACUCUAUGACCCCAGCAAAAGCAACCAGCGUCUGAUGGAUAGAAAGGAGAAGACAGUCCUGACUUCCACUUGUGUUGACUCGUAUUGUAAUGGUGCAAGUCCUUUUUCUCUACACUGGAGUUGAUGAAAGCCGAAGUGGCGAGUACACAAACUGGCUCUUCACAUGUUUUUAGGCACGACUCCCAGCAAACUGGAGCACACAUCAGAGCCUGUCUACUAUGCAUCACCUAGCAAAAAUGAGGAGAGCAAAGGAUGACAUCUUCCUCCAGUCCAGCUGGGGUUCCUCUGCCAAGAAAAGGCAGGAGGAGUUUUGUGCUUGUAGCAAAUGAAGCAGUGGAAACAGAGCAGAAACGCACCAGAAGGAAAUCUCCCCCACAUGCUUUGUCAUCGCAUUUGGUCGAAAACCAUGGCUGCUAACCUCGCCUUGUGCCACCUCCAGAGACUUGGAACCAUGCUGCUGGAAUCAGACGGCGAGUUUCUGUCAAGCACAAAUAUAUCUACAGAGCCUCUCUGUGAACCCAGACGUGCGUAUGCUAAAAGCCAUAACCCUUUUGCAGACCAAUAAAGUCUGCCUCCCUUCUAAAUCCUUUUUCAGAAACACUGAACUUUUAACAUAAACACCUACAUCAAAAAUUUGGCAUAACUGUACCCCUCCUAAAUGGUUUUCUGUGUUUAAAAAAACUCCAAAUAAAUAUUCUGGGUUACAACAUGUAUCUUUCCUAGAGUGUAACUUUAAAAGAGUGAAACUAUAGCUCCCUACUACUAAAUAAAGCUGUGAUUUGCCCAA
This is a long non-coding RNA of Tyto alba (common barn owl), 1792 nucleotides long. RefSeq lists it as uncharacterized. The transcript is spliced from 2 exons. The record is from RefSeq and is a predicted model, not a curated record. NCBI's taxonomy places the organism in Eukaryota, Metazoa, Chordata, Aves, Strigiformes, Tytonidae.